GUGCUCCCCCCGGCAGCACGUAUAGUAACAUUGGAGUGAUACAGUGAUGAGCAUGGCCCCUGGGCAAGGGUGACAUGCAGAUUCGUGAAGCGUUCCAUAUUUUU
This is a small nuclear RNA of Otolemur garnettii (small-eared galago), 104 nucleotides long. The record is from Ensembl. Lineage: Eukaryota; Metazoa; Chordata; Mammalia; Primates; Galagidae.